GCCUACACAUGCAGUCGAGCGGUACAGGUGUAGCAAUACAUGCUGACGAGCGGCGAACGGGUGAGUAAUGCUUUGGAAUCUUCCCAGUAGUGGGGAACAACCAGUCGAAAGAUUGGCUAAUACCGCAUACGUCUGUAAAGGGAAAGCGGGGGCUCGUAAGACCUCGCGCUAUUGGAUGAGCCAAAGUCGGAUUAGCUAGUUGGUGGGGUAAUGGCCUACCAAGGCGACAAUCCGUAGCUGGUCUGAGAGGACGACCAGCCACACCGGAACUGAGACACGGUCCGGACUCCUACGGGAGGCAGCAGUGGGGAAUAUUGGACAAUGGGGGAAACCCUGAUCCAGCGACGCCGCGUGUGUGAAGAAGGCCUGCGGGUUGUAAAGCACUUUUAGUGGGGACAAAAAGCUACGGAUUAAUACUCUGUGGUCUUGAUUUAACCCAAAGAAAAAGCACCGGCUAACUCUGUGCCAGCAGCCGCGGUAAUACAGAGGGUGCGAGCGUUAAUCGGAAUUACUGGGCGUAAAGCGCGCGUAGACGGUUUUGUAAGUCAGAUGUGAAAUCCCUGGGCUCAACCUGGGAACUGCAUUUGAUACUGCAUGGCUAGAGUAUCGAAGAGGGAAGUGGAAUUUCCGGUGUAGCGGUGAAAUGCGUAGAUAUCGGAAGGAACACCAGUGGCGAAAGCGACUUCCUGGUCGAAUACUGACGUUCAUGUGCGAAAGCGUGGGGAGCAAACAGGAUUAGAUACCCUGGKAGUCCACGCCAUAAACGAUGACACUAGAUGUUGGGAGGGAUCUGCCUCUCGGUGUCGCAGCUAACGCGUUAAGUU
This 824-nucleotide ribosomal RNA is filed under the name uncultured bacterium. RNAcentral describes it as "bacterial SSU rRNA". It matches the Rfam family "Bacterial small subunit ribosomal RNA", at positions 46 to 866 of the family's 1533-position model. The record is from RNAcentral.